This 119-nucleotide ribosomal RNA is filed under the name Pteropus vampyrus (large flying fox). The record is from RNAcentral. Lineage: Eukaryota; Metazoa; Chordata; Mammalia; Chiroptera; Pteropodidae.
GUCUACAGCCAUGCCACCCUGAAAGUGCCCGAUCUCGUCUGAUCUCAGAAGCUAAGCAGGGUCGGGCCUGGUUAGAAUUUGGAUGGGAGACCACCUAGAAAUCCUAGGUGCUGUAAGCG